GGCGAAGCCGAGCAGAAACUACCGGGAGCGAAGCCCCAACUUGGCCUCCCCCUCCCGCGGCAGCGCUGGGGCGGGGGUGCCCGGGCGGGACAGGCGGAGCGGCGGCGGGGCCGUGCCCGCGGCUGCCAUGCGUGCUCGGCGCGCCGGGGCUGCCCGCGCUCCCGCCGCGCUCGGCUCCCCGCGCCUCCCCCGCCCCGCGCCGCUCCGCUCCGGCCGGCCGGGCCGGGCAGGUGCGCGCUGCGGCUGCCGCUGCCCCGCUCGCAGGUAGGGCCGGCCGGCUGCAGGGUGCGCAGGGCCCCCCGUGCGGUGUGCGGCUGUGUGUGUGUGUGCGGCUGUGUGUGUGUGCGUGUGUGUGUGUGUGUGCGUGUGCGCUCCGCCCGGCCCCGGCGGGCUGCCGAGCCGCAGCGGCGGAGGCGGCGGCAGCAGCCGCGGAGGUGCCGCCGGCUGCGGCGGGGGCCCGCAGGUAGCGGCGGCACGGCGGGGAGCGGGGGGCACGGCCGGGGGAGCGGGGGGCGGGCGGGAGCGCGUCCCGGGGCUGGCGGGGGCGGUGCGGGAGCGGGGGCGACCCGCGGAGCCGCGGGCAGCGGCGAGGCGGAGCGGCUCUGUCGUUGCAGGUGGCGGCGAACCGGAUGCCUUUGGCGGGCAGAAGAUGUGUCAUGGGAAGCAGGCGAGCGGCGGCGGUGCCCUCCCGGCGGCGCGGCGGGCGCUGGCCGCGGCGCUGUGGCUGCAGCUGGCGCUGAGCCUCGGCCCGGGGCUGGCGGCGGGCGGUUUCUGCAAGAUGCCAUGCAUCUGUUUGGCUUCUAUUCAUAACAGGCUCAUUCCUUGAGAGAAUGGCUCUGCUGUACAGGCCCUUGCACAGGACAGAGAUUUUGCAACUUGAAUUGUUGCUGGAAACAACCAAAGUAGAAAAUGGGACUGAUUUAAAAGAAACAGCAACACAAAAGUCUGUGGAUUUGGUUUGUGCUAUUUAAAGUACCAAUAUUUUCUCCAUUUUCCUUCAGAGUGCUAAUUAUUUAUGUUUAAAGAAUGAUUUUCUUUGGUGAG
Molecule: long non-coding RNA, 1044 nt
Filed under: Catharus ustulatus (Swainson's thrush)
Lineage: Eukaryota; Metazoa; Chordata; Aves; Passeriformes; Turdidae
Description: lncRNA (ENSCUSG00005008130.1)
Source: RNAcentral